RNAcentral lists this long non-coding RNA (4105 nucleotides) under Marmota monax (woodchuck). The record is from RNAcentral. Lineage: Eukaryota; Metazoa; Chordata; Mammalia; Rodentia; Sciuridae.
CAGCCCCAGCCCCUGACAUAUUAUUUUGUUAUUAAAACAAAACUAAUGGUGCUGGGUGCAGUGGCACAUGCCUGUAAUCCCAGUGGCUUAGGAGGCCGAGGUGCGAGGACAGCUAGCUCCAAUCCAGGGUCAGCAAGUUAGCAAGGCCCUAAGCAACUUAGCAAGACCUUGUCUCAACAUAAAAUAUAAAAAAAAAGUCCUGAGGAUGUGGCUCAGUGGUUUAGCGCCCCUGGGUUCAAUCCCCGGUACCAAAAACAAACAAAAAUAACUAAUGGACUUUUUUUUUUAGAGCAGUUUCUAAUUCACAGCAAAACUAAGCAGAAAGUGGAGUUCCCAUGCACUGCCACCCAGACAGGAGCCUCCACACCAGCAACAGCUCCGCACCCCCAGGGUGGUGCGUGUUGUCCCGGGGGCACCUACACUCACACGUGGCCAUGGUCUCCUUCAGUACUGGCACUUGGUGUUUGGGUUUGGACAGAUGUGUGGUAACACCCAUCCACCAUCACAGUGUCACACACAGGAGCUUCGCUGCCCUAAAAACCCUCUGUGCUGCCCUGUGCAUCCCUGUCUGCCCUGGCAACCGCGUUCUCACUGUCACUGCAGUGUGACCUUCCCCAGUUUGUGAUACAGUUGAGCUCAUACACAAUGCAGCCUUUUCAGAUUGACAUUAUUUUUAUCAUUCUUAGAAGUUUUUGUCCCUAAGUACACACUGUUAUUUGAUGAGUAUUAAUGAAUCAGAUAAGGAAAAUAGCAAACAUAUUGUUUAGCAGCCUUGUUCAUUUUUGUGUGCUGGGGUGCUCAGGAGUGCUCAACCACUGAGCCACAUCCCCAGCCCUUUUUGUUGUUUGAUUUGAGACAGGGCCUUUAAGCUGCCCAGUUAGCCUUGAACUUCCUGCCUCAACCUACCUGCUGAGUUGCUGGGAUUACAGGCGUGCCUCACCAUACCCAGACUGUUCAGUAGUUUUCUUAAGCUGACGCUGUGUAAAUCUUGGUAUAUUUUCUUGUCAGUGUAUAUAAGAGAUAAUAAUGGUAAUAGCAGUAACAGCUAACCAUUGAACAUGUACUAUGUGCCUUGUACUUUCUGCUGUAAGUGUUCUCCAUGUGUGAUGUGGGCUGAGCUGGGUCCCCCUAAACUUCAUAUGCCGAGGCCCUAACCCCCAGGGUUUCAGAGUGCAGGGGGAGAGGGAGCCUUGCAGAGGUGAUGAUGUCAGUAUGGUGACCGGUAAUCAAUGUGACCGGCGUUCUUGUGAGAGGACGGGAGCGUAGGACAGAGACAUACACAGAGCAAAGGUCAUGUGAAGAUGGGGGGAGAAGGUGAGUGUGCAAGCCACCACCUCAGGAGAAACAGCCCUGCCCACCCCCAUGGAGACCGCCAGCCUCCAAACUGGGAGGAAAUCAGUUCUGAUGUUCAAACCUCCCAGUCUUGACUUGGCUCUGGAGUCUCCAGAAGAUGAAUAUAAAUGUGUAACCCGUGUUCUCAGCUCAGCUUCAACAGGUAGGAACUCUGGUCCCUGUUACCAGGGAGGAGCCAGACACGAGAGACUAGAGAACGUCCCAAGGUCUCCCAUGCUAUCACAGCAGGAGAGACUAAGUCACAGUUCUGGUCCUCGCAGUGCAGCGGGCUGGGCCAGGGCAUGUGUUCUUCAGAGUCCCUCCGGCGCAGGCUGAGGGAGCGCCACACCAACAGCUUCCAUGUCCCCAGGCGGAGGACCUCGCAUUGGCCUGCCCAUCACUCCACUUAGUCACCCCCAUGACCGCAGGUCAUAAGGCCCCACGUCACAUGAAGGCAUGUUGAAGCACAGCCCGCCAUCUACCCAGAGGAAGAGGACUGGGACAUGCCAUCGUGAACAGCACGUGGCACCACACAGGGCAGAGGAGGGACGUGGGUAGGUGAGGUUCACACCGAUGCUCAUUCUAGAUUCUUUUUUAUGCAUCUCUUCCCCUACCUGGUGCUCACUGGUGUCCUGCCACUAUAAGAAAACAAUCAUUAUGCGCACAACACCUUCCCGAGGCCCGGGGAGUCACUCUAGUGAAUAGUCAAACCUGAGGGCAGUUGUCAGGAACCCCCGGUCCGUAGUCACUGGUAUUGAAGGGGCCCCUGAAAAUCCCCGCAAUAUGGCUGAUAUCUGAAAUAAAGAUGGUCUUGGUACCUUCGACCUUGAAAUCUUGCAAACUCAUUGUGCUUGGUGUCAGAAGUCUUGGUACGCCAGGCUGUCUGGGGGACUGUGCCCUUAACCUUGAGCUGGCCCAACUCACAUUUCUUGCGGGGUCUCCAGCUUUACUCUCUGGUUUUUCCCGCUCACUCUUACCCCCAUCAGAUGCUCCCUAAAGUACUGUGUCUCUUGGACGCCCCUGGCUCCUUCACGGCUCAGCGACCUCACACAUGCCAUUUCUUUUGUGUAACUUGGUUUUCCUGGGCGGCUCAAGGUGACUACUCAUCAUUCCUGAUUAUCUCAGAAGUUUCCUUCACCCAAGGUUGCUCUUUCCUCCACCGCUCGCUCGGCGUUCCUUAGUUCCUCCCUUCCACCUGCGACUGCAGUGCUUUGUACCAGCUUGUGUUGUGGCCUUUCUGUUUGGUUACUGUUACUGUUUGGAUCUGGAGUAUCCCCUACAGCCCACGUGUUAGGCAGUGCAGCCGUGUUCAGAGAUGAGAGGAUUAGGUCACGAGGGCUCAGCCUCAGCAGUGGAUUAAUCCACCUGAUGGUUUAGCAAUUUUGAAUGGUGGUGGUAAAAAGGAUAGGCAGGUGGGACAUGGCAGGAAGUGAGACAUGGGGGGCAUGUGGCCUUGGGGACCAUAUCUGCCCUUUCUAUCUCCUCCUCUGAUUCCUGACUGCCAUGAGUUGAGAGUUUUCUGCCAUGAUGUUCUGACCAGACACAGAGCUGGCAACCAUGGAUUGUAUCCUCUGAAAUCAUGAGCCAAAAGAAAUCUUCUUCCUCUAAGUUGUUCUUGACAGAGAUUUUGGUCACAAUGAUGAAAACCUGACUAGAGCAUUUAUCUAACAGGAGCAAAUACUCCCUAUCAAUGCAGAGUGAGAAGGUGUUCAAGGGAUCGUAAAGGUGGCUCACAAUGACCAUGUCCCACUGAACCCAUGAACAGGUGCUCCUUGACUUGUAAUGUCUUUAUGCCCCAAUAAAGUCAUUGUAAGUUGAAAAAUACGAAUGCAUUGAAUACACCCAGCCUUCUACAACCAUAGCCAAGCCUACAUCAAAUGUGCUCAGAAUGCUUACAACAGCCUACAGUUGGACAGAAUCAUGUAACACAAAGCCCAUUUUACAAGAAAGUAUUGAAUAUCUCAUGCAAUUUGUUGAAUAUUGUACUGAGAAAGAAAAGCAGAAUGGUUGUAUGGAUAUGCUCUGCAUCACCAUGAAGUCAAACAAUCCUCUCAGACCAUCAUAAGACGGGGGCCAUCUGUGUAUGUGCAGUCCCCACCGUCACUGAGGGACUGCCAUGACUUGUGUUAACCAAUAGAACAUAGUGGAAAUAAUGUGCCAAUUCUAGGGCCACCAAUUAAGAGGGAUGCCAGCCUCUGCUUCAUUUUCUUGGACUUGUCCUUGGCACCCAGCUGCCAUGCUGUAAGGAAGCCCAGGCAGCCAUGUGGAGAGACCAUGUGGAGAGAGAGAGCCCAGGCUCUCUGGGAGGGAGAAAGGUUUAGAGGUUCCUUCCUGCCUCACUGGAAAGCUUCCAGAUGAUGUCAGCCCCUCCUGCCAUCUGUCUGCAACUGCCUGUGACACACAAGACCAGCAAAUCAACCCUGAGGAUCACAGGAUAAUGACAUGGUUGUUGUUUCAAGCCACUGAGGUAUGGGUUUGGAGCCCAUUAGGUGGGUAAGUCAUCCACAUAAAAAUAGUCGGUAUUUCUGGGUAUGGUGGCACACACUUGUAAACCCAGUGACUCAGAAGCUGAGGCAGGAGUAUCACAAGUUCCAGACCAGCUUUAGCAACUUAGUGAGACCUUGUAUCAAAAAAUAAAAGGGGGUUGGAAUGUGGCCCAGCAGUAGAGCACCCCUGGAUUCAAUGCACAGUACCCCCCACCCACCCACACAAAGAUCCUCAUUGCUUGGCUAUUCUAUUCCCAUAGCACAGACAAUAAUACAAGAGGAAAGUA